AAGCCAUGCAUGUCUAAGUAUAAGCAAUUAUACCGUGAAACUGCGAAUGGCUCAUAAAUCAGUAUCGUUAUUGAUAAAUACCUUACUACUUGGAUAACCCGUGGUAAUUCUAGAGCUAAUACAUGCUGAAAAUCCCGACUUCGGAAGGGAUGUGUUUAUUAGAUAAAAAACCAAUGCCCUUUCGGGGCUCCUUGGUGAUUCAUGAUAACUUUACGGAUCGCAUAGCCUUGCGCUGGCGACGGUUCAUUCAAAUUUCUGCCCUAUCAACUUUCGAUGGUAAGGUAUUGGCUUACCAUGGUUUCAACGGGUAACGGGGAAUUAGGGUUCGAUUCCGGAGAGGCAGCCUGAGAAACGGCUACCACAUCCAAGGAAGGCAGCAGGCGCGCAAAUUACCCAAUCCCGACACGGGGAGGUAGUGACAAUAAAUACUGAUACAGGGCUCUUUUGGGUCUUGUAAUUGGAAUGAGUACAAUUCAAAUCUCUUAACGAGGAACAAUUGGAGGGCAAGUCUGGUGCCAGCAGCCGCGGUAAUUCCAGCUCCAAUAGCGUAUAUUAAAGUUGUUGCAGUUAAAAAGCUCGUAGUUGAAACUUGGGCCUGGCUGGCGGGUCCGCCUCACCGCGUGCACUCGUCCGGCCGGGCCUUCCUUCUGAAGAACCUCAUGCCCUUCACUGGGCGUGCUGGGGAAUCAGGACUUUUACUUUGAAAAAAUUAGAGUGUUCAAAGCAGGCCUUUGCUCGAAUACGUUAGCAUGGAAUAAUAAAAUAGGGCGUGCGUUUCUAUUUUGUUGGUUUCUAGAGACGCCGCAAUGAUUAACAGGAACAGUCGGGGGCAUCAGUAUUCAGUUGUCAGAGGUGAAAUUCUUGGAUUUACUGAAGACUAACUACUGCGAAAGCAUUUGCCAAGGAUGUUUUCAUUAAUCAGUGAACGAAAGUUAGGGGAUCGAAGACGAUCAGAUACCGUCGUAGUCUUAACCGUAAACUAUGCCGACUAGGGAUCGGGCGAUGUUCUUUUUCUGACUCGCUCGGCACCUUACGAGAAAUCAAAGUUUUUGGCUCUGGG
Molecule: ribosomal RNA, 1060 nt
Filed under: Alternaria cesenica
Lineage: Eukaryota; Fungi; Ascomycota; Dothideomycetes; Pleosporales; Pleosporaceae
Description: SSU rRNA
Rfam family: Eukaryotic small subunit ribosomal RNA
Source: RNAcentral